GAGAAUUAGAGAGGAUAUUUUCUUAAAAAGUGGAAAAGUGUCAUUUGGGAGGUAGCAAGCUAUGUUUUCCUUGGAUUUUAAAACGUUCAAUUAGGAGAAAGAUCAAGGCUUGCUUGGCUAGGUGUAGAGCAGAUCCACUAGUUCAAUCAGAUGAGCUUUUGAAGGCUGCUUGCAACAGACCAUCUGAGGAUGCCGCUAGGUCAUCAUCAAAAUGGUUUAUACUUAAUAUCCAAGAAUGCCAUCAUUUCUGGGGUCGGUCUCCUCGGCAUCAAACAAGGAAAUGUUGAUGGUGGGGAAGCAUGGGCUCAAAGGAAGAAGGUGUGUGCAACUCCAGCAUAAAUUUGCUGGUAUGUUCAGCAGAGUCCAAUUUUGCCACUGGACAGCGAGACAAGGCGUAAGUCCUCGAGAAACCUUGAUAAGUAAAGAACAAUUGGGAGAUGGGGGUCCUGGCAAUUAUAGGUAUCUUGUAGAGGAAUUAACAAAUCGCAGUAGUUUUUUUUAUUACUGUAACAUGGAGAUUAAUUUUGGUGAAGAGUUAUCAAAUUCUUUCACUUUGUUUUGUUUUUGGAUGUCAAAAUUCUAUGUGACAACGUACUAUAUUCCAAUUUUUAUCUUGAAUUUAUUCUAAUAAAAGUUUCAGUUUA
This is a long non-coding RNA of Pistacia vera, 644 nucleotides long. RefSeq lists it as uncharacterized. The record is from RefSeq and is a predicted model, not a curated record. NCBI's taxonomy places the organism in Eukaryota, Viridiplantae, Streptophyta, Magnoliopsida, Sapindales, Anacardiaceae. The transcript has 2 exons.